Molecule: ribosomal RNA, 510 nt
Filed under: uncultured delta proteobacterium
Lineage: Bacteria; Deltaproteobacteria
Description: bacterial SSU rRNA
Rfam family: Bacterial small subunit ribosomal RNA
Source: RNAcentral
GAGUUUGAUCAUGGCUCAGGAUGAACGCUGACGGAAUGCUUAACACAUGCAAGUCAUCCAGAAAUUAUCUUCGGAUAAGAUUAUGGGGGCGGACGGGUGAGUAACGCGUGAGAAACCUGCCCUAUGGUUUGGGAUAACUAACCGAAAGGUUAGCUAAGACCGGAUAAUAUAUAUAGUAGGCAUCUAUUAUAUAUCAAGAUAGGAGGGUCUCGCGUUCUAUUAGCUAGUUGGUAGUGUAACGGACUACCAAGGCGACGAUAGAUAGCCGGCCUGAGAGGGUGUACGGCCACAAGGGAACUGAGACACGGUCCUUACUCCUACGGGAGGCAGCAGUGAGGAAUUUUGCGCAAUGGGCGAAAGCCUGACGCAGCAACGCCGCGUGAGUGAUGAAGGAUUUCGGUUCGUAAAGCUCUGUCAAGUGGGAAGAAGUUAUCAUGUAUAAAUAGUGCAUGGUAUUGACGGUACCACUGAAGGAAGCACCGGCUAACUCCGUGCCAGCAGCCGCGGUAA